GAUGAACGCUGGCGGCGUGCCUAAUACAUGCAAGUAGAACGCUGAAGGAAGGAGCUUGCUCUUUCUGGAUGAGUUGCGAACGGGUGAGUAACGCGUAGGUAACCUGCCUGGUAGCGGGGGAUAACUAUUGGAAACGAUAGCUAAUACCGCAUAACAGUAGAUGUUGCAUGAUAUCUACUUAAAAGGUGCAAUUGCACCACUACCAGAUGGACCUGCGUUGUAUUAGCUAGUUGGUGAGGUAACGGCUCACCAAGGCGACGAUACAUAGCCGACCUGAGAGGGUGAUCGGCCACACUGAGACUGAGACACGGCCCAGACUCCUACGGGAGGCAGCAGUAGGGAAUCUUCGGCAAUGGACGGAAGUCUGACCGAGCAACGCCGCGUGAGUGAAGAAGGUUUUCGGAUCGUAAAGCUCUGUUGUAAGAGAAGAACGAGUGUGAGAGUGGAAAGUUCACACUGUGACGGUAGCUUACCAGAAAGGGAUGGCUAACUACGUG
This 497-nucleotide ribosomal RNA is filed under the name uncultured bacterium. Its description in RNAcentral is "partial 16S ribosomal RNA". It matches the Rfam family "Bacterial small subunit ribosomal RNA", at positions 28 to 507 of the family's 1533-position model. The record is from RNAcentral.